RNAcentral lists this long non-coding RNA (236 nucleotides) under Setaria italica (foxtail millet). RNAcentral's name for it is "long non-coding RNA (SITA_LNC005157)". Lineage: Eukaryota; Viridiplantae; Streptophyta; Magnoliopsida; Poales; Poaceae. The record is from RNAcentral.
CACCUCGUCGAGCCUUGGGCGCCUUGCAUGGCUUGCCGCGCCUGCGGCCGCCUGUCGAGGAAGAAGGCUCCCCCUUCUUCCGAUCACCCUGGCAGGCCUCCCAUUGCUCCUGAGUGAAAUGGAGCUUCCCGCCGAUGAUGACAGGCCCUGAGGGAGGCUGUGACUCGUCGCUGUCGACGACCUUGAGGCGACCUAUCGCCUCCUCGAUCGACAUCCUGGAGAGGUCCAGUAGAGAC